GACGCUUCCCGUACGUUCCCGCCUUCCCGGUCUCAGCUUCAGCUAGCACCCAAUCCAAUCCAACCAUCACGUGCUCAUGAUCCUUAUUCGUUCAUUCUACUACGUACACCCUGCAAGUGCAAUCUGCAAUGCCUAGUCCUACUUCUAUCUAUCUAGAGUAGAAUUGUACGUAGUCGUCGGUCCACUAGUCCCGCUGGGUACUCCUAGAUGAGAUGAGAGGCAGGCCCGUGACUGAAACCAACUAGAGAAGCCGACGCCGGCCGGUACUAAACCAACCCUCCCUCAUCAUAAUAAAAACCCAGAACUUGCCGUGAACCCCGCCGACUCUGACUGAAGGAGACCGCCGCCAAUCCGAUCCGGCCCGCCGACCCUUCUCGUCAACCUCCGCCGAGCCAGGGGCCGAGAAGCAGGAACAAAGAUGUCGGAUCCUUCCGUAGAUCUCGAGAAAGGCAUCAUCACCGGGCUGAAGGAGGAGGAGAAAGGCAUCACCGGGCUGAAGGAGGAGGAGGAGGAGGAGGUUGUUCAUCAAUUUAAAGAUCCCAUUGAGGUCAUGUGUGUGAAGCGCUUUAUGGUGAGGCUUUUUUUGCUUUUCUCUGCCCUAGGACUAGGAUGAUCUAUGUGUUUGUGUUUCCUUUCUCCUCAAUUUAGAUCCACCAGUUAGUUGACAGAUCCUAACUGAACGGAUCUUAGACGACCCCCCAACAUUAGCUAAAAGCAACUGUUUGAUUUCAACUUUUUUUUAAAAGGUAGUUUGAAAUUUCAAUUUCUUAUUUCUGCUAGUUAUAUACACCAGCAUGCUAUUAGUAUGUGUUGCCCAAAUUACUUCCUUCAUGUACUAGUAGUUUUCUUUUGGGUGGAGGUGGAGGGGUGGGGCUGGUAGCUAAGCAUCCAAUGACUAUGAGCUUCAUCUUGUUUGAACCCACCAUAGUAUGUUGUGACCUUUUGGCUUCUGCAUGUCACGGUUUCAUGGUUGAUAAUUUCUAUGUAGUAUAAUUUAUCUUUUCUGAUUAGGAACUACUAGCACAUUAUUAUUUAUCCUGCCUGCCCAAUAAGGCAAUAAUCUUUUGCUUCUCUCUGCCUUUUGUAGGAUGUGUACCCCGUGCUGUUUUUUGUGGUGGCCCUGUUCGGGGCGCUGGCAAUCUACAGGGAAAAACACAUCUGGUGGCCAGCUCUUAUCCUGUUGGCUUGUGCAACCUUGACUUUCUGGACCUUUCACGGGUUGAAGCGCACAUGUAGUAUUCAGCAUAAUACAUUAGCAACAAGCGCCGACAGCGAUCUUAGCAACACACUACUAAUAGCAUCAUCUAAGAAUUAAGCCAACAGGCCAGUGAGUUAAGUGAAUAAGAGCAUCUCCAACAAUUUGGCAAAAACUGUUUGGCAAAUCUUGACUUUUGACAAGUUGAUAAAAAGAAUGGCAAGU
Molecule: long non-coding RNA, 1420 nt
Filed under: Sorghum bicolor (sorghum)
Lineage: Eukaryota; Viridiplantae; Streptophyta; Magnoliopsida; Poales; Poaceae
Description: long non-coding RNA (SBIC_LNC001821)
Source: RNAcentral